UACAUCAAAAGAUUGAAGUUCUAAAUACAUUCAACCCUAAUUGAGCGACUAGUGCGAGUACAAUUACAAAAUUCAAAAACUAGACUACGCUAGUCUGCACCAGUCCCACGCCUCGCUCGUAUCCUCUGUAAGGAAAACAAAUGACGUGGAAUGAGUUAAAAGUCCAGUGAGGUUCCAAAUAGCAAAUCGACCAUUGUUUAUAAGUACAAGUUUCAAUGUAGCAAAGUAAUGAGCAUGAAAAGUUCAUAAAAGUGAGCAAUAACACUUCAAGUAGCAAAUCUCAAAAAGAGUGAGUGUAAAGUUUUUCUUUUAAAACGAAACAAUAACACGAUAAGUACUAAUCAUUCCAAAGUAUAAGGAUACAGAUGGCUUUCUGGAGCCAAAUUCCCAUUGCAUCAUCAGAGCUUGAUCAAGUAAUAGUUGACACUCCGUCAACUUUCAAGUAAGCAACCAAUCCAGUAGAGCACCACUUGAACUACUCUCCGUCCACCAUCCAAACCCCCUACUGGGUCCAAAAUCCUCAACAAACACUGGUGGUAAUACUCAAGUAUACCGAUUAAUCGAGGAGAUAUCACUCCACUCGACAAAACAAAAGACCCAGGGUUUGUUACCCAAUCGACCAAGCCCUUGCCAUCUCGACUCGAGUAACUCGCCACAGGGUUUCUGGAAUUCCAGGAAGUGCGCACCUUAUACACAAAUAUAUCAAAUCCAUUGCAACAAUAAACAAGUAUAUAUCA
RNAcentral lists this long non-coding RNA (737 nucleotides) under Coffea arabica (coffee). RNAcentral describes it as "long non-coding RNA (CARA_LNC006568)". The record is from RNAcentral. Lineage: Eukaryota; Viridiplantae; Streptophyta; Magnoliopsida; Gentianales; Rubiaceae.